GAAAUGCGAUAAGUAAUGUGAAUUGCAGAAUUCAGUGAAUCAUCGAAUCUUUGAACGCACCUUGCGCUCCUUGGUAUUCCUUGGAGCAUGCCUGUUUGAGUAUCAUGAAAUCUUCAAAGUAAAUCUUUUGUUAACUCAAUUGGUUUCUACUUUGGUAUUGGAGGUCUUUGCAGCUUGACACCUGCUCCUCUUUGUUCAUUAGCUGGAUCUCAGUGUUAUGCUUGGUUCCACUCGGCGUGAUAAGUUAUCUAUCGCUGAGGACACUGUAAAAGGUGGCCAAGGUAAAUGCAGAUGAACCGCUUCUAAUAGUCCAUUGACUUGGACAAUACUUUUAUGAUCUGAUCUCAAAUCAGGUAGGACUACCCGCUGAACUUAAGC
Molecule: unclassified non-coding RNA, 378 nt
Filed under: plant metagenome
Description: partial contains 5.8S ribosomal RNA, internal transcribed spacer 2, and large subunit ribosomal RNA
Rfam family: 5.8S ribosomal RNA (bases 1-105)
Source: RNAcentral